Cynocephalus volans (Philippine flying lemur) is the source of this 67-nucleotide small nucleolar RNA. RefSeq annotates it as small nucleolar RNA SNORD42. NCBI's taxonomy places the organism in Eukaryota, Metazoa, Chordata, Mammalia, Dermoptera, Cynocephalidae. The record is from RefSeq and is a predicted model, not a curated record. The transcript has a single exon.
UCCCCAAUGACGUAAAAAAAUAAAUCUUGCAAAAAUAAUGAGAGCUACAAAGGAACCACAAUGGGAA